AACAUCAUAUCAUUGAACUUGCAUUAUAUAUUGAUUUUACAAAGUUAAUCCACAUAAAUUUGUUAGUAUUUAUAUUCAAACAACACACGUGACGGACCUGACUAAACCUCAUUGGUUCUUGGGAUUCAGUACGUCACAUUGGCUUCCUGAUUCAGUUGUUCGAUACACAACGUGCGUGAUCGUUGGUAAAUGUGGAUUAAAAGUUGAAACUAAAACUGUUAAAUUAUAUAUAGUGAUCAUCAGAGGACUUGGCUGAAACAACGCGAUUCACAUGGAUUACUUCGGCGAUGGUUUUUAUUGCUGUUGCGAUUAACCUUUUGAAAUGUGAGCAGUUUUUAAGUAUCAAGUGGAUCUGACAUCGAGGGGAAAUAUACGUUUCUUGGAUUUCAUUAAAGUACAUCGGUUUUUGUUUGAAGAUGAAUGAGAGAACAUGAGGCACAGCGGCAUUCAAAUUGACCAAUCAGAGCCGAGAAUAUCUAAUAAGUCGAAGUAGAGAUGAACAGAUGAAGAUACAGCCCGUAAAAAUACUUAUUCUUGGUGAGUGCCAUGUAGCGACGGAUCAAACGGACACUCAUGUCAAGCUUGAUGAGGACACAGUCAAAGCUUUAAAAGGUAAACUG
This is a long non-coding RNA of Paramisgurnus dabryanus, 620 nucleotides long. RefSeq lists it as uncharacterized. The record is from RefSeq and is a predicted model, not a curated record. NCBI's taxonomy places the organism in Eukaryota, Metazoa, Chordata, Actinopteri, Cypriniformes, Cobitidae.